GGAGGGUUGCACUGAAUUAUCUUUACAUCGCCCUGGGCUAACAGCUUGGAUACUGUUUUUGCAGUUGUCCAGGAACUGAACCCUGAGAGUCUAACAAAGCUGGGACUUGAACUUCAGAGAGCUUUCAUACAAAGAACAGGAUCUGCUUCUUGGCAUGACACACCUUUGCUGGAAUCACCAUCUAUAUCUGUCCUGAAUUUCUCCAGAAAAGGACCUCUGUUGCGGUGGAUUCUGCAUUGUGGUCUCAUCUGUUCAGUUCUGGAAAGAGACACUCUGACCUCAUUUCACCCAGACCAUGUUACAUUAUUGUUUUUAGGGAUUUUUAAUAUAAACCAGAUUUCUCUGCGUUCUCAUUUAUCUUCCAUUGAUUUCUGUAGCUUAUUCAAAGUUCUUAAUAUCCUUCUGUGAUUUUUGUUUAUUCACCACUCUUUAUUAGCAAAUCCUUAAUUCCUUAGUGCUUCUAAAGCUCCUUAGGACAUGAAACAAUACUUCUGAUUUGUUAACUGUUAUCAUUACCACCAGUGGUAUGG
Molecule: long non-coding RNA, 530 nt
Filed under: Calidris pugnax (ruff)
Lineage: Eukaryota; Metazoa; Chordata; Aves; Charadriiformes; Scolopacidae
Description: lncRNA (ENSCPUG00000013401.1)
Source: RNAcentral